This 328-nucleotide long non-coding RNA is filed under the name Heterocephalus glaber (naked mole-rat). Its description in RNAcentral is "lncRNA (ENSHGLG00000039473.1)". Lineage: Eukaryota; Metazoa; Chordata; Mammalia; Rodentia; Bathyergidae. The record is from RNAcentral.
UGCUGACCAAGUGACUGAAAGUGCCGGGGAAACUCACAUCGGGGGUCCCAGGAAGAGAGGAAGGAAACUCUGAAGAGAGGAAAAGGGGAAACCAAGACAUGCGGUCCUGAGCUUGGUCCCUGAGUACGUGGCCAAAAGCGUGGAAAUAAAGAGAGUCAACUUACUGGCUGUCCAGGCUCAUCUCCUCCGAGGAUUCUGAAGCCAAAUCCAGACUCCAUCCUCCGAAGGUGAACAUCCAGUUCCUUAUAGUCUGGACCUGGUGUAGAGAAGAUCCCACUGAGUCACGAAUCCUCCUCCUCCCACCCCCCAGGAGCCGUACACACCGAUG